GUCCACGCCCUAAACGAUGGAUACUCGACAUACGCGAUACACUGUGUGUGUCUGAGCGAAAGCAUUAAGUAUCCCACCUGGGAAGUACGUUCGCAAGAAUGAAACUCAAAGGAAUUGGCGGGGGUCCGCACAAGCGGUGGAGUAUGUGGUUUAAUUCGAUGAUACGCGAGGAACCUUACCUGGGCUAGAAUGCUGGGAGACCGUGGGUGAAAGCUCACUUUGUAGCAAUACACUGCCAGUAAGGUGCUGCAUGGCUGUCGU
This 261-nucleotide ribosomal RNA is filed under the name uncultured bacterium. RNAcentral describes it as "partial 16S ribosomal RNA". It matches the Rfam family "Bacterial small subunit ribosomal RNA", at positions 793 to 1055 of the family's 1533-position model. The record is from RNAcentral.